UGACCAACCUGCCCCUAACUCUGGGAUAACCCCGGGAAACCGGAGCUAAUACCGGAUACGAGACCGAGUGGCAUCACACGGUCUGGAAAGUUUUUCGGUUAGGGAUGGGGUCGCGGCCUAUCAGCUAGUUGGUGAGGUAACGGCUCACCAAGGCAACGAUGCGUAGCCGACCUGAGAGGGUGAUCGGCCACAUUGGAACUGAGACACGGUCCAGACUCCUACGGGAGGCAG
Molecule: ribosomal RNA, 231 nt
Filed under: uncultured bacterium
Lineage: Bacteria
Description: partial 16S ribosomal RNA
Rfam family: Bacterial small subunit ribosomal RNA
Source: RNAcentral